RNAcentral lists this microRNA (22 nucleotides) under Homo sapiens (human). Its description in RNAcentral is "hsa-miR-5195-5p". Lineage: Eukaryota; Metazoa; Chordata; Mammalia; Primates; Hominidae. The record is from miRBase by way of RNAcentral.
AACCCCUAAGGCAACUGGAUGG